Molecule: long non-coding RNA, 1751 nt
Organism: Aotus nancymaae (Ma's night monkey)
Lineage: Eukaryota; Metazoa; Chordata; Mammalia; Primates; Aotidae
Source: Ensembl
GAACACUUGGUGCAGGAAUCUUCUAAUUUUUUUUUGUUUUUGCAGUCUCUCCACCUACAAUAUACCAACUGGAAUUUCCCUUAUUUGAAAGAAAAUCUUCAGGGUAAAGAAGACAUUUACAAUGACACAAAAAGAUUCCAAAGGUAUCAUGGUCCUAAAGGGCUUUCCCCAAGGGACAGCACAGUGUGUUCCAGGCCCUGAUGAGAGUUCACUUCUGAAACAAGGCGAAGAAGAGCAGAACAAGCUGAGCUGGAAUGAAGACAAGAAUGCCUUUCCACAUCUGCCCAGUGACACAGAAACCCCAGGUACCCCAAGAGACCCAGGCAGAAGCAGAGCAGGCAGAACCUCACGCUCCUGUCAAACUAUGAAGAGUGGGGAAUGGCUGCAUCCUGAUGGCACUGGGGGAGGUCAUGGCACUUCCACCCUUAGCUUAACUUUAAUUAAAGCUCCUAUGGCUUGUGUGUUGAGGACUUUUACAGCAUAUAUGCCUUUCAUUGGUUGAAAAAAUAAAAUGGAUCACUUCAUAAAAAUGGAUCCUCCCUCUUCAAAGAUAAAUGGGCGUAGAAUAUGACAAACACGUAUGUCUUUGUGAAAGUGGGGUUUCUGGACAUCUGACAAUCAAAAAGUGGUUUCAGGGUAUGUGAGGGGAAAAUAAUUAGUGAAGACUUUCUUUCCUACCAAGUCUUCCAAGUUAUAGGUAAACUAUUUUAAGUAAUUUUGUUGUUUUUAAAUCUGUAAGUAAAAGAUACAAGGCUCUAAGAACGUAUAUAAGUCCAAAGGAUUUUUCAGUCAAAUAACUCUCUCAUCUCCUUCUUUUUUUCAAACUUAGAGUAAAAUUGAGUAAUAACAGUAUUUGACCAUAUCAGCUUCUCAGGCCUCCAGUGGUGCUCUGAAGUGUUUCCAAACUGUGGGCAAAGAUUGGAGAAAUGCUCCCUUAGGUCUACCAUGCAUGUCAUCAAGACUUAGAUUGGGUAUAUGAAAAGAGCUUUGUCCACAAACAAAUCAUCUGGUCAUUCCUUUUCCCGUUCUAAUGGUCCACCUCCCACUUUUACACCCAAGAUGAUUUACAGCAAUAACAUCCAUCACAGCAUUCUUUUUCAAAUGCAUUUGAGGCACAGAGACAUAGAUUUCUUCAAUUCCUUAAUAGAGAUGAUACAGAAAAGCAAGCUUGCCAGAAUGUCUCAUGAAAAAACAUAGGACAUAAAGACUGGAAACCAUCUUGUACUCUGUUCAUUUCCUGUAUCAUAAUUACAUAAAUUAUCUCUGGGGGCUGGAAAAACCAAUUCUUAUUUCUCCAGGACAGUUUUCCAAAUCACUAUGUGGACAGAUGGGACAGUUUCCCUUGUAAGUGAGAAACUGGCCAGGAGAGUAAUCAAUGCAUGUCUGCAGGGCUGUCCAGGGCUCCUGGUCCAUGUACAUGUGCACAGCCAACCUCAGUGGGGCCUGGCCUACACACCUGUUAAAUGGGCCAUCAGGUGCCACUGUGCCCACUGCACUGACCAUGAGACAUAAGGCCAAAAAGAUGAGUUCACACAUCCAAGUUUAUAUAAGCCAUUUAGAAAUGGAGCUGAGGACACUCAGUGCUGGGCUGUGUCCUCAUCAGCCAAAUGGAUCUUUGGAUAAGAUCACUACCUGGCUUUCCUCCAGAGGACUGCUGAGUUGAGAAUCUUGAACUUGAUUUACAAUAGAGCCUCCCGAGCCCUGCCUACCACCCUGUAUCUCACACAGCUAUUCAACUGCAGAAAAAGAAC